UUUUUUUUUUUUUUUUUUUUUUUUUUUUAGAGCAGACUUUUAUUACAGAAGAAAACCUUAUCCAUGAGCAGCAGCACAAGGACACGUUCUGGGAUGAGUGCUGGGGAGGCAGCCAGAAACGAACCAGUGCAACACUCACCUGGAUUAAGAAAGCACCACGUGAAAGGUGAACCACAGAAACCACAGAACGAGGACAACACGUCCCCCAGACGUGCAACAUACUCGCUUUCUAAAGACUGAAGAAGUGAAGAGAUUAUAACGUCAAAGUUCAUCUGACGUGCUUGGAAAGUCAUGUCUCCCGUGUGCACGACCACCAGCGGAGUGAGAGCAUCUAGCCCCGCAGCCACCUCCACCUGCCAGGUGUGCGGGGUGUGAGAAUCCCACGACGCCCAGUGCUCAAGCUGACAAGUAAACAAGUGCGUGAUAAAACCAGAUUGCCCCGGGCUGCUGCAGGGACCUGGGGCGCACAAUGGGACAGGGCGCUCUUGUGGACCCCAGUCCGGGGGCGACGUGUGCGCUGGGGCCGAGGGACCCUGGGUGCUCACCCUACAGGCCUCGGAAGCCCACGCCUCCGGAAGCUGCAGACAACCACGGGCAGCAGCGUCCACCUGCCCCCGUGGGCCAGCCUGGAUCCCGGCAGGACUCUGGUCAAGAGGGCCACUGGCGCUGUGGGCUGUGGAACAGGCAGUUGUGAGGCGGACGCGGGAGACACAAUUGCUAAGCUCAGCGCAGAGGUCCCUGGAGGCUCGGAGCAGAGCUGUGUCCUCAGGCAGGAGACACGGAGCCUGCCCAUCAUCUUUGUGGCUGCUCCCACCCUGCGCUGGCCCUCAGCCCACUCCCUUUCCGGUCCCAGCGCUGCUCCCUUGGCCCUUGGGGACACCUCCUUUACCUGGCUGCGAACCUGCCCUCACUUGUCCUGCUCCAGAGAAAAUGUCCAUGUGUCCCCAGUGUCACAGGCGUCUGUCAUGAGCACCAGGACUCGGGCGCCCUGGGCUGUCCUCCCUGGAACCGAGGCCGCAAGGCUGCGCUCAGUCCAGCCGUCCUCCGCAGCGUGUCUUGGGGAAAGGAAUGGUCACAAGUCUUGGUGUCCGGACUCGGGAUGGACAUGAGAGGUCACUAGAAAUCAAGCCCAGGUGACACCCUGGUGCCUACAGCUCCCCAGGAAUGCAGAGGACCUGGCAAGGGUGACCAGAGGUCAGCCCCCCAGUCUGUAGGGAGGGGAGGAAGCAGAGCCCCGCUUGCGAUGUGGACUCACUGCCCAGUCUCCCACAGCGCUGGCUCCCACCUUCCCUCAGAUCGAGGUCGGCAUGAGGCCCGUAGGAACAGAUCCCAGCGUGAAGGGCGAUCUACGGCACGUCCCUGGGACAUCUGCUGGCGUCCCCGUGUCCAUUCCAUUCGAGGUCCUCCGUGGCUCCCCGCCAACCCAGCGCCCUCCAUGUGGGCCAGGUGCCGAGGUGCUCCGUGGAUGCUGCUGUAACUGCCCUCCGGCAACAAGAACCAUGCUCAGCGGGGGGCACCCCAAAGGUUCUCAUGUGGAAGAAGCAUUUCUCUGGGACAUUCCCAGGACUCCAGGGAAGCCACUGACUUUGCUGGUGGGGUCCCUCCCAGGCUGGGCAGGC
Molecule: long non-coding RNA, 1619 nt
Filed under: Canis lupus familiaris (dog)
Lineage: Eukaryota; Metazoa; Chordata; Mammalia; Carnivora; Canidae
Description: lncRNA (ENSCAFG00845014871.1)
Source: RNAcentral